CUUUGUAGUUGGCCGAAACUUUCAUGAUUCUGAAAUUUCAUAUUUCAUUCUAAAUAUUGUACAUAUGAACAACUUUAUUAAUAAUACAUCUUUAAGUUGUCAGCAUUUCACGUUCGAGGAAUAGCUAUUUCCUCAAGAGUUUUCGGUCGAUACGUAUCCAGUCUAAGUGUCUCGAUUAUUCUGUAGGAUCUUUUUCAAUUCGAAGAUAAUUUUCUUUGGUCUAG
Molecule: long non-coding RNA, 224 nt
Filed under: Elaeis guineensis (African oil palm)
Lineage: Eukaryota; Viridiplantae; Streptophyta; Magnoliopsida; Arecales; Arecaceae
Description: long non-coding RNA (EGUI_LNC076262)
Source: RNAcentral